RNAcentral lists this unclassified non-coding RNA (229 nucleotides) under Hevea brasiliensis (rubber tree). Lineage: Eukaryota; Viridiplantae; Streptophyta; Magnoliopsida; Malpighiales; Euphorbiaceae. The record is from RNAcentral.
AAUUGGAGAAUAGAAUUUGCCGAACUUGUCUCUUAUUGUGCCAAUAAAUGUCUGACUGCAAGUGCAAUUUUUUGUAGUACUUUUGCAAAACAUCUAGAUGUCUUAGCUGGUGAUUUCGGUCCGGACAUGACACCAAUGGAUAUGAUUCUCAGGCUUUAUGUUGUUGGAUUGACCAUUACUGACUGUGUUGUUAAGUGCCGAUUUGGCAAUUCUACAUCCUCCAAAAGUG